AAACUUCUGGACUCAACCUGGCCGCUAGACCGGAGCGUCCUCCAGCGCAGGCAAGGAUUCCUCGUUUAGAGUCAUGUUAUCUUCGAGUACCUAGAGAGACAUUUUAACCCACACCCUAGAGAGGCGUUGUAAUCCUUACGUGUCUUUUAACGCUACUUGGCCCUUACCUGCGAGCAACUGACCUUUAAUAAUCCUCAUUUUCUGUGCCCCGGAAGUGCCUUACCCUCUUCGCGUCUGUUUCCCGGAAGUGGUUCUUCUCCCUCUCCACCCUUUCGCCCGCCUGGGCGGUCCAGCUGCCCCUAGGGGCCAACUCCAGCGGCUAUUUUGGGGCUGGACAUCCCGCAGCUUUUCAAGGCGUGCCUUUGGUUUUUUUAAGAAGUGCUAUCUAAAGGAAAAGCUGGACUAUGACUCUGGGGAACUUUCAUAUCCUCAGUUGACCUUAGGCUGUGUGACCUUGAGCAGGUAGCAUAACCUCUCUGAGUUUCCCGCGUGCCUUAUGUGCAGAUUGAGAUGCUAAAAUGAGAGAGCUAAAUUGGAAAGCUUUUUCCACAUAGGGGGCCGUGAGCAGGUGGCUGUUUUGUCCUCUGGCACCUUUGGCUCAGACUUAAGCAGCUUCAACGACCGCCAAGAUGCCUGCCAUGCCCACCAAGAUUUAAAGGACUCUGAUAAUUCUUUCUCUCCCCAAACGGUGUUUUCCUUAUCUAAUCCUAAUAACCAAGCCUGGAGGAAUCCCUGACUUCGUGAUUGAAGGCUCUCCAGGUCCCCUAGUUUAAGGGCAGAGAUUUACUUUCUCUGAGGCUACAAAGGAGCGUCUGCGAGAAUGUCUCUACCUUAGACAAAACAGGGAGGAGGGGUGGAGCUCUCCAAAUUGCCUCUGGUUUGGGCUUUUUCUUUCUGUUUUGGUGUAUCGUCUCUGGCCAACAACACCUGUGAGUCCUUGAUGUGACGAUUAGGGAAGAUGUUUUUAAUUCACAUAACUAUUCUUUAGAGAAAAUUGAUCCUGAAACACCUUAUUGCCUUAUCGUAGAAUGACUGCAUUACUCAGAAUUCUUUACCUCUACCGGAAUUUAGUGAAGGGAAGGCACAACGUACAUUAGGAAAAUACAGGACACACUCCAGUCCUUAAACCUUCCACAAUCUUCUAGCUCUUUAAGGUCGAGUGUGAUCCUCCCCAGAACUGCAUCUUCCAGGAAGCUCAUGAGAAAGGAAGGAUCCCAGGUCCCAUCUCUGAUCUGAGUCGGCAUCUGCGUUUUAACAGAAUCCUGAAGCAGUGGUCUAACUCCUUUGGUGGUGUUAUUGUUUGCAUGUAUACCUCCAAAAUUCACAUAUUGAAAUACUAACCCCCAAGGUGAUAGUAUUAGGAGGUGGGGCCUUUGGGAGGUAAUUAAGUCAUGAGGGUGAAGCCCUCAUGAAUGGGAUUAGUACUCUUAGAAAAGGGACCCCAGAGAGGUCUCUUUCCACCAUGUAAGGAUAAAAGUACACGGAGAAGAUGGCAAUCUGCAAACUGGAAAAGGGCCCUCCUCAGAACCUGACCAUCUUGGCACCUUGAUCUCAGACUUCCAUCUUCCAGAACUGUGAGAAAUAAAUUUCUUUUAUAAACACUCAGUCAAUGCUACUUUAUUAUAGCAGCCUGAAUGGAUUAAGACAGGUGGUCUGGUUUAAAGUGAUGUGGUGGCAUCAGAAGUUUAAGGAGAGACUGGAUUUACAGAACCAGAAUCUGGGAUGCUGUUUACAGAGCAAGUUAUUUCCUGCAUUUGGACACUGUCAGCAGGUCGAUUCAGGAGACAGGUGAAAACUUUAUCACCGGGCAGCCUGGAUGAACACCACAACUUUGAUAUCUUUCACUUAAAGGAAAGAUAAGGGCAUCCACUAUUUCUACACCUGGCUGGCAGAGUGAGAGCUCACCAAAGGACUCCAGAAACUGGGCCCAUAUAAGAACACACAAGGAGGCAUCGCACUACCUGACUUCAAAAUAUACUACAAAGCACUUACAAAUUCAUGGACUAUUAUGAAGACAAGUUAAGAGAUUGUGUCCUCCAAACUCAUCAUUUUUCAGGUAAGGAAACUUACGUUCAGAGAUAUUACCCUGACAGCUCCAAGAAUGUAAAGGUUGUUUAUAGCAGAAGAUAGCUCACAUUUUCUCUAGGCCAUGUCAAAUGGAAAAAUCGUAUAUGAAUGACGUUAUAUUUUUUCCAUUAUAUGAUUGCAGACUGAAUGGAUCUCUGUUGUUUUUAAAUCACAUCUAAAUUAAAGUCUUUGAAGAUUUUCGUUAAGUUCAAACUGCACACAAUUAACGGUAGUAAGUUCAAUGUCAAAGUUACAGAAUAUUUAAAUUUAAAAACAUUGUUCUUACAACCUAAGAUAACUUUUUAAUGUUUUUUAAAUAUUAACUUGGAAUUAUGUUUUAUCUACUAGAAAUUAUAUUCUUUAUGAAAUAUUUUUGCCUGCAUCUUUAUUUAACACUAUGUUGGCAUCAUUUUCCAUAAUGACAAAUAGGCUUCAGAAUGUUAAAUUAUAAUUAAUCCUUGUAUUUUGAUCAACCUUCCAGAACCUUUUCUAUGCAUCUCUUUUGUAUGCACUUCGUAAUUUUUACUGUCACAAAUAUAUUCAUACACAUAUCUUCUGGUUAGUUGAAAUGAUUUCUUUUUGAGAAAGGCUUAGAAAGGAGAUUUCUGUGAUUAAUGUUUGAAAACCAUGGCUAGAACAGCAUGGUUUAGGGCAGAGGAGCCCAUCAAUAAGGAAAGGCCCUCCUUUCAGCUUCAUCUCGUCUCUCCACCAACGUGUGACCUCAACUAAUUAUUUAGCUUUUUCAACUUCAGUGUUCUUCUUAUUAAAGUGGGUGCAGACACAACUCUCUAAUAGGAAUGUUAUUAGGACAGUUUAUAAAUAAAAUAUUUGGUUUAGUGUCAAUAUAUGGUAAGUGCCCAAUUGAUUAUGUUCAAUGUUUUCUUUAUGGUUCUUAAAAUAUUUCUUUCCAAAACUGUUAUGGCAUUUUCCUCUCCCACUAUCCCCCUGAAAUAUAUCUCUUUUUAAAAUAUUUGGACCAUUUAUUGGAUCUAAAAUGAUACUUUCAGUUUGCUUUGAUUUUUGAUUUCUCUAAUUUUGUUUGAAUUCUUUUUAAAGUAAAUUGACCAGCUGUGAUGUUAUUUUUUAAAAAUGUAAUGCAUAAGAAGAUUGACCAUUCUAUUAAUUAAUCAAAACACCAGAAUAAUAUUUUUAUUCUUAUUUAUGAAACUUAAAUGGUCCAUUAUAAUCUCUAGCUGAUAUUUCUGUAAUAUGAAGUAUACGCAUAUAAUAUUGGAUCCUAGACAUUUGGAAUUCAGAAAAACAAAAGAAAAACAAAAACCGGAAUUGAAAAACCCAGAGAAUCUGAAGACAUCAUAGAACUUUCUCCCCUUGCAUUUGGAAAAAGUUAUAGAUACUAUCAAAUAAUGGGUCAAUAGUGUACUGUAUCCAUGUGGGGAUAUUUAGAUCACCUAUGUAUAAUGGCAAUUUCAAAAGUCAUGGCUCAAUUUUGUGAACUAGACAAUUCUGGUAAUUAUAAGAGCAGUAGAUGAAGCUGAUGUCUCACAUGCUGAGCAUAUGCUACUUAAACACAUAGCCAUCAUUCCUGGUGCUUUCUACAAAAAUAUUUCAUUUCAUUAAAAAUGACUGUUGGCCAGGCACAGUGGCUCACACGUGUAAUUCCUGCACUUUGGGAGGCUGAGUGAGGCAGGCAGAUCACCUGAGUUUGGGAGUUCGAGACCAGCCUGGCCAACAUCGUGAAACCCCAUCUCUACUAAAAAUACAAAAAUUAGCCGGGUGUGGUGGCAGGUGCCUGUAAUCCCAGCUACUCGGGAGGCUGAGGUGAGAGAAUCACUUGAACGCAGCAGGCAGAGGUUGCAGUGAGCCGAGAUCACGUCGCUGUUCUCCAGCCUGGGUGACAGAGCAAGACUGCCUCAAAAAAUCAAAAAUAAAAGUUACCCCUGAUAGUUAAAUAAAGAUAAGGAGAGGAAUCAGCAAAUCAUCCAUGCCUUGCCAUAAUUAAGGUUUGUGAACAUUUAGAUGUCUUUCUCUUCUAUUUUAAAAUAUGCAUAGGUUUUACCAAAUGGGCUCCUGUUCUACAUUGUGUGAUCAUAGAUAUUUGUACUUCUUGGAUCAGCAAAAGAUGGGCAUUUACAGGAACCACCAUUGAGGCAAAUAAUGUCUGAUGUGGAGAGAAUACAAUGCCAAGUAUUGUAAUUGGUUUAUUUUUUGUUAUUUUUUAUAUAUUUUCUUAUAAGAAUAUAAGGCAAAAUGUGUCUCUAUAUUUAGUUGGAGAUGUGUAUACAGCAGUAAGACACAUACAUAGUUGCUGAUUCUACUCUUCAGAUAUCUGAGUGUCAUUUGUAAUCCUUCCCUUGGUCUACUGAGAGUGUUUUGUACUUUAAUAUAUUUAACGCAAUGUCGCCGUUUCACAGAUUUAUUUUAUUUUAAAAAGAUACACAGACUUCAGUAUAUUGUAGUAAACAAAAGUAGAAAAAUUAAGGCAGCAAUUGGAGAAAUAAUUACAUAUUCUUUCCCUGGGAUGUAAGCAUGCAAAAUACAUGAAGAUAUAUGCUUUUCAUUCGAAAUAAGGAAAAUAAAAGACUCUGCCUCAUGAUGCUCAUGAAAACAAUCAUUUUUUACUUUUUGGCAAUGGCUUUGGAGUGGAAGCACAUUACUGUCAUCUCCUGAAAGAAUUAAAUAUAAAGUGGAAACCCAGUGAAGAGGAAGAAAAUGCCAUAUAAAUUUCAAAUGAAGAUUUGGAACCAGAUUAUGAUGAACAAUGUUGCUAAACCUUGUGAUCUCUACCUUCUUUAGUCCCUCCUUGGGAAUAGCAUAACAGUGGACCCAGCCAUCUAGGAUUAUUUGAAGUAACUUUGGGUGGUACAGUUCAGAAGAAUCAACCCUAGAGAGCCUUAAAUAACAAUACCGAAAUGGGACAUAUUGCCAUUAAAUCUGUCCCUAACUUAAAAAUGUUUAACUAGAUGCUACAAAAAAAAAAAGUAAUACUUUGCUAAUACUUUCCAGAAAGAAGGAUGGAGGGGAGAAAAUAAAUACACGUAAAAAAGACUCCUUUGAUCUUUUCCAGUAAUGUGGAAUGCUCACUUUAAUGGAACUAUGAUUCAAACUGCACCUAUAAGAACCAGGAUCAAGAUCUACAUGUUCAAAUGUUUGGAAAUUUUCUGAAAACAUCUAAUUAGGUCUUGAAAAUUUUCAAACAUAUGAUUAGCUCUUGUUCCCAAUUCUUAUAGGUGCAGUUUAGUUAUAGUACCGUUAAGUCAGAAUAUAUGAAACUUCAGUUAGAAGGAAUAAGUUCAAGAGAUCUAUUGGAAAACAGGGUGACUAUAGUUAAUAACAGGGUAUUGCGUUCUUGAAAGUUGUUAAGAGAGUAGAUUUUAAAUAUUCUGGCAACAAAGAAUAAGUUAUAUUUCAUAUAAUAAAAUAUAUAUUCAUAAUAAUACAUAUGUUAAUUACCCCAAUUGAACCAUUCCAUAAUGUAUACAUGUUUCAAAAUAUGUUGUAUGCAAUACAAACAAGUUUUAUUUGGUUGGUGCAAAAGCAAUUGUGGUUUUUGCCAUUAAAAGUAAUGGUAAAUAUUACUUUUUUGUAAUAAAGUAGUAUUUAAUUAAAGGAUAAAUAAUUAAAGGAUAAAUAGUUUUUUAGAAUUUAAAUAAUCUGAAAUUAUGCCAGUGCUGAGAGAGAUUAGGAAGACAUGAGAAAGUCACCCAAUUAAAUAAGAAACCCACACUGAAAUGUCUGCAAAAUACAGCACUGUCAAGAUGAUUUUAUCAUGGAGAAAAAUAUUCCAAAAUCCAGAAAGUAAUUACCUAUUCGGAGAAGAUAGAUGAAAAUGGGGAAACAUUAGGUUGAAACACAUUUUUACAAGUCCCUAUCAUUGAAAAUAAACUUUACUUCUCUGUAAUACUUGUUCAAUUCUAUUGAUUCAAGAGAAGGCCCAAUUGAUUUGGAAAAUGAAAUUUAAAAGGAAUCCAGAUAGUUUCAUGAGUUUUUAACUGAACAGAAUAUUUGAAAACCCUUGCACUACAAAGAAAUUUUAACAACAUUGACGUGUAUGCCUGAUUUUAGCUUUGCUGUGGUUUUAGGGUGGUCCAAUCUUAACAAUUUUAAACAGGCCCAGAGAUAUUCAUUAUGUGAUUAUGAAUCACUUCCAAGGGUAAAUUUUAGAGUAGGAUUUAGUCAUAUCUAUAACAACACUGAUGGAGCAUGUGUCAAGUUAAAGGCAAAAUAUUAAGAAUAAGGGACAGUUCUCAGCUGACUGGAGUGAGUCAAACGUCAACAGUAUUUCAGAUAUCAUGAACCAUUUGCCCAGAUAGUCCAGUAUUCAUUGAAUAACAUGUCACAUGUGUAGGAUCUCAAUAGCUGAGCUGCCUGAGGACAAUUUUUCUUUAGCUGGGUUCCCCACUGGAAUCAACUGAAAGGAGUUGUUUUUAGAAAUGCUAUUGGUGGAGCACCAUCCCCAGAGAUUCUAAUUCAAUGCAGGCAGAGGGUGGAAGAGUUUGGGAAAGAUGAUGGCUCCAUUUCUUAAAGCUUCCCCAGUUGAUUUCAGUAUGAAUCUACAGCUAAAACUACCAUCGUGGGUCAUAACUAGAACUGUAUUUGAUACUUGUGUCUUUUUCUAUUUCAGUUUUUAUGAGACUAGCAACACCCAGUUUAUAAGGUAGAAUCUGCAACUACUAUACAAUAUACUUGAAAAACUUCUUUGAAUAUUGAAGUUUAACAUCACAGCAUAUCUGGUACAUUCUAAAUGAGCAUCUUCCCAGGGAAUUGACCCACAGUCAUGGUCUUAAAAUGUUUCGGUCACCCCCAUUUUAAAUUAAUAAAAGGUGGCUGUGGAACUGCCCAAAAAACUGGUAUUGGCUUUCAGCUAGAGAUGUCAACUGGCUGGCUCUUGUUUCUUGUAAAGUGGCCAAUAUGUGGUUUGGAGCUCUGAUUAGGGGAAAUUCUGGUAAUAUUAAGAAAACAUUCUCCUGCUAUGUAACGGGCCAGGAAUGUAUACUCAAAAUCCAAAAAAUCAUCUAAUAAAAUGUUUUAAAACAAGUACCAAGAGGAGAAUCAUCUCUUUGUUGCCUUCAGCUAGUUUAAGUGAAUGUAUACCAUGUAUACCAAGGUAUUCAGGCAUACCUUGGAGAGAUUGCAGGUUCAGUUCCAGACCACAACAAUACAGUGACUAUUGCAAUUAAAGCAAGUCACAUGAAUUUUUUGGUUUCUCGGUACAUAUAAAAUUUAUGUACCAUAGCCUAUUGUACAAUAGCAUUAGGUCUAAAUAACAAUGUACACACCUUAAUUAAAAAUACUUUAUUGCCUAAAAUGCUGAUUAUCUGAGCCUUCAGCAAGUCAUGUAAUCUUUUUGCCGGAAAGAUUUCUCUGUUGCUUAAUAUUAUUUUACCCACAGUAGAACUUCUUUCACAAUUGGAGUCAGUUCUCUCAAAUUCUGCCUCUGCUUUAUCAACUAAAUUCAUGUCAUAUUCUAAAUCCUUUAUUGUUGUUUCAACAAUGUUCACAGCAUGUUCACCAUCUGAAGAGAUCACUUUCUUUGCUCAUCCAUAAGAAGCAACUCCUGUUUCAUUCAGGUUUGAUAUGAGAUUGCAGCAAUUCAGUCCCAUCUUCAGGCUCCACUUCUAAUUCUAGUUCUCUUGCUAUUUCUGCCACAUCUACUGUUACUUCCUCCACUGAAGCUUUGAACCCCCCAAAAUCACCCAUGAGGGUUGGAAUCAAUUUUUUCCAAACUUCUGUUGAUGUUGGUAGGCUGACCUCCUCCCAUGAAUCACAAAUGUUCUUAAUAGCAUCUAGAAUGGUAAAUCUCUUCCAGAAGGUGUUCAAUUUACUUUGACCAGAUCCAACAGAUGAAUCACUGUCUAUGGUAGCUAUAGCCUUAUAAGAUAUAUUUCUUAAAUAAUAUGAAUUAAAAGCCAAAAUUACUCCAUAAGUAAUUACUGCAGAAUUGAUGUUGUGUUAGUAGGCAUGAAAACAACAUAAAUCUUGUACGUCUCCAUCAGAGCUCUGGGGUUACCAAGUGAAUUGUCAAUGAGCAGAAGUAUUUUGAAAUAAAUCUCUUUUUUUCUGAUUGGUGUGUCUCAACAGAGGGCUUAAAAUAUUCAGUAAACCAUGCUGUAAACAGAUGUACUGUUGUCCAGGCUUUGUUCUUCCAUUUACAGAGCACAGGUAGAGUGGAUUUAGCAUAAUUCUGAAGGACCCCAAGAUUUUCAGAAUGGUAAAUGAGCAUUGGCUUCAACUUAAAGUCACCAGCUGCCUAUCAAGAGAGUCAGCCUGUCCUUUGAAACUUUGAAGCCACACAUUGACUUCUCUGUAGCUGCAAAAGUCCUAGGUGCAUCUUCUUCCAAUAGAAGGCUGUUUCUCCUACACUGAAAAUCUUUUGUUUAGUGUAGCCACCUUCAUGAGUGAUUUUAGCUAGGUCUUCUGGCUAAUGUGCUGCAGCUUCUCAUCAGCACCUGCUGCUGCACUUUGCACGUUUAUGUUGUAGAGACAGCUUCUUUUUUUAAACCUCAUGAACCCACAUAUUCUAGCUUCAAACUUUUCUUCUGCAGUUUCCUCACCUCUCUCAGCCUUCAUGGAAUUGGAGAAAAUUAGAACUUUGCCCUGGACUAGGCUUGGUUUAAGGGAAUGUUGUAUGGGUUUGAUCUUCUAUCCUUACCUCUUGAACUAUUUUCAUUUCAGCAAUAAGGCUGUUUCACUUUCUUAUCAUUCAUGUGUUCACUGGAGUCACACUUUUAAAUUCCUUCAAUAACUUUUUAUUUGCAUUAACAACUUGGAUAACUGUGUUUCUCAAGAGGCCUAGCUUUUGGCCUAUCUUGGCUUUCAAUGUGCCUUAGUCACUAAGCUUAAUCAUGUCUAGCUUUUUUUUUAAAGUGAGAAACAUGAGACUCUUCUUUUUCACUUGAACACUCAGAGGCCAUUACAGGGUUAUUAACUGGCCUGGCUUCAACAUUGUUGUGUCUCAGGGAAUAGGGAAGACUGAGGAGAAAGAGAGAUAGGGUAACAGCUGGUAGGUGGAUCAGUCAGAACACACACAACAUUUAUUGAUUAAGUUUGCCAUCAUAUAUGAACAUGGUUCAUGGUGCCCCAAAACAAUUAUAAUAGUAACAUAAAAGAUCAUUUAUCACAGAUCACCAUAGUAGAUAGAAUAAUAAUGAAAAAGUUUGAAAUAUUGCAGGAAUUACCUAAAUAUGACACAGAGACACAAAGUGAGCCCAUGCUGUUGGAAAAAUGGUACCUAUAGACUUGCUGGAUGCAGGGUUGCCACAAUCCUUCAAUAUAGAUAAAAGGCAGUGUCUGUGAAGCACAGUAAAGCAAAGCAUAAUAAGGUGAGGUACACUUAUACACGGUGAUGAUUAAAGUACAUUAACAUGCAGAAAAAGAGGGCAAGAAGCAAGUUAUCAAUUGAACAAAACAAUAGAUGUAUAAAACACAUCAUUACAGAAACCUGGCAACUUGGUGGUACUAGUCCUUGUUUAUGGACACACCCUUCAUAAUCAGCUCUAUGUAUGCAUCCACACAUUCAUUUAUUCAGCCAUUCAUUAAUUCAUGCAUAUAUUUUUAUUAGUUUUCCAUUCCUGCUAUAACAAAUAACCAUAUACUUAGUGGCUUAAAUCAACACAAAUGUAUUAUCUUAUUGUUCUACUGUUCUGAAGUUUGGAAUGAAUCUCACUGGGCUAAAUGCAGUUGUCAAAGCUGCAUUCCUUCUGAAGGUUCUAAAGGAAAGUCUCUUUCCGUCCCUUUUUCAGCUUCUAGAUGACAACUGCAUUCCUUUGUUCCUGGCCCCUUCCUCUACCUUCAAAAUGCACCACUGCAAACUAAGCUUCCUUCCUUAUGUCACUUUUUCCCCCUAAACCUCCUCUCUCUCUCAUAGGGACCCAUGGGAUGAUAGUUCCACCUCAAAAUCCUUGACUUAAGACACCUUCAAAGUCCCUUUUGCCAUGUAAGCUAAUAUAGUCACAAUGUUGGGGGGAUUCGAACAAGGACAUAUUUAGAGGGGGAUUGUUUUGUCUAUUGCAGUAUUCUAAAGGUACUUAUUAAGCUUUACUGAUUAACUUUUGAACUCAAAAUAAUAUAUGUUUACAUUUGAAAAAUUUUUUGAUUGUCCACUAAGGUGAAUUUUAGCACCCUUAUGAUUUUGCCAGAUCUUAUCUCACCUUCAACCUCUUCACCAUAUAUAUAUUUAUAUUGAAUGUGUUCAUUACAUUAACAUAUUUAAUAGAAUUAUAGUAUUAUAUAUUUUAUAUAUAUAAUUAUAUUGUAUACAUUAUAUGCUUAUAUAU
This 10301-nucleotide long non-coding RNA is filed under the name Homo sapiens (human). RNAcentral describes it as "HSALNT0406912". The record is from RNAcentral. Lineage: Eukaryota; Metazoa; Chordata; Mammalia; Primates; Hominidae.